AUUGAACGCUGGCGGCAGGCCUAACACAUGCAAGUCGAGCGGCUGAAGGGAGCUUGCUCCUGGAUUCAGCGGCGGACGGGUGAGUAAUGCCUAGGAAUCUGCCUGGUAGUGGGGGAUAACGUCCGGAAACGGGCGCUAAUACCGCAUACGUCCUGAGGGAGAAAGUGGGGGAUCUUCGGACCUCACGCUAUCAGAUGAGCCUAGGACGGAUUAGCUAGUUGGUGGGGUAAAGGCCUACCAAGGCGACGAUCCGUAACUGGUCUGAGAGGAUGAUCAGUCACACUGGAACUGAGACACGGUCCAGACUCCUACGGGAGGCAGCAGUGGGGAAUAUUGGACAAUGGGCGAAAGCCUGAUCCAGCCAUGCCGCGUGGGUGAAGAAGGUCUUCGGAUUGUAAAGCACUUUUAGUUGGGAGGAAGGGCAGUAAGUUAAUACCUUGCUGUUUUGACGUUACCAACAGAAUAAGCACCGGCUAACUUCGUG
Molecule: ribosomal RNA, 484 nt
Filed under: uncultured bacterium
Lineage: Bacteria
Description: partial 16S ribosomal RNA
Rfam family: Bacterial small subunit ribosomal RNA
Source: RNAcentral